CUGUAAAGUGGGAUGAUCUUCCGCCACUCAGGCCAGGUGGUGGUUAGGAUUAAACCCUGAAGUCGACCUGAGCAGCUUAGCCUGGCGCCUGACCCAGAGCGGGCGCUCCACGCCCGCUGAUAUUAUUACUAAUUGUUUUCGGGAGAGGCAGAUUUGGGGCGUAGAGGGUGGGUGGGUUGAGGAGGGCAUUUUGGCCUGGGGGCGGAUGGGGCCCGCGGGGUGGGGCGCCCUGGGGGAGUGGGAGGCGGGGCUUCUGUGCCCGGUGUCCCCACCCCGCCCGGACCCCGGCUCGGGCCGUGCCUGGGUCUCUCCCGGGUCACCGGCGGGGAAUCCGUCCCCGCGCGCUUCCUCCUUCCUCCUCCUCCCGGCUGCCUGCCGGGCCCCUCCUCCCAGCUCGCGCGCUCCCUCCCUCCUCUUCCCUCCCCUCCCCGGGCCGCCGCCGCCUCCUCCUCCUCCUCCUCCCUUUCUCUCUCGAUCUGUCUCUCCCGGCCCGGAAUCCAUUCCGGCCUGGGAGCCGGAGCGGCCAGGCCGCCGUCUGCCCUACCCGCUGGCCGUCCCGCGGUCCGCCCUCCUGUGCGUCCGUCUGCCGGUGCGCCCGCCCGCCCGCCGGCCCAGCACCUGUGUCCUUCAGGUGGACUUAGGAGUGGACAGAGCCUGUGUGUGCCCCUGGGCAAGGCCUCCUGAACUUCAUGGACUCUGUACAAUUUGGGGCAGUGGUUGCUGGGUCACCUGGGUUCCUCACUGGGCAGCGUGAAGACCAGGAGACUUCUCCUCUACCCCCAACUGCGGUCACCCACUAGCUGCGUGGCUUUGGUGAGUCAGUUUAACUGCUCUGUGCCUCAGUUUCCCCAUCUGAAAAAUGAGCCUAGUGGUAGAACCCACCCCAUGGGCUUGUUCCAA
This 900-nucleotide long non-coding RNA is filed under the name Piliocolobus tephrosceles (Ugandan red Colobus). RNAcentral describes it as "lncRNA (ENSPTEG00000017316.1)". The record is from RNAcentral. Lineage: Eukaryota; Metazoa; Chordata; Mammalia; Primates; Cercopithecidae.